This is a non-coding RNA of Camellia sinensis, 1088 nucleotides long. The record is from RefSeq and is a predicted model, not a curated record. NCBI's taxonomy places the organism in Eukaryota, Viridiplantae, Streptophyta, Magnoliopsida, Ericales, Theaceae.
UAUCGUGCAAAGCACGGUGCCUCGCAACUAGUACAUAUAUUAAACUAUAUAAUAGUAUUUCAGACUUUUGUAAUAUGUUGUUUUGUCUUCAUAUAUAGCAAGAUUUUGGAUAGAAAGAUAUUUCACAAAAGUUUUAAAACAAAUUAAUUACAACUUGUAGGAGCCAAGCAAAGGGAUAAAUGGCAAGAAACAUUCUCAUUGAGAAAUGCAGGGUAAGCAAAACGGUGCAAGUGGUGAACAUAGGGUGCACAGAGGUGGUGCUUGGAAGAAUUCCCUUCACCAGAAGCCUUAAAGCAUUGAAUUAUUGUUUCAACCAAACCACCAAUAGAACAUCAGGAAAGGAGUCACCAGACCUUGCAGCUUAGCUGGAUCCUGAUGACAAGAUGAGCUUAGAAAUAAAUUUAUUUCAUCAGCUUAUAAUCUACAAAUGAAAUUUACUUCAUUCUGUUAUAAUUUCUAAGGUUCUCAAUUACUUUAACAUGUUAAAAUUUUGUUAUGGUUAAUAGGACGACAUCGAUCAGGAUGAUGAAGGCAAUGAUGACUGUGAGCAGAAAUCAUGCCAGCUAGGAGCACGUCAAUACAAGCAUCCGAUUGCAAUUCAUGCUGGGAAACCAAAGAAUGGAUUGAAAGAGGCUUUGAGGGCUGGAAUUGGAAAAAUUAAAUGUCUUAGUUUGAGUGAAACAACACUUGAAAAGGCAACAAAAUCUUAUGGAAUUGACCUUGUGAGGUUCACACAGAAGAAUAUUCUGAGGGUAUACCCAAAGUGGACCCGAGUCACCUCCUCAAAUUUCAAUCCACUUACUGGAUGGAUGCAUGAAGCUCAGAUGGUUGCAUUUAAUCUGCAGGUUAGUUUUGAAGUCUUAUGUCUUCAUAAAAUCAUGUUAUUCAUGUUUUUUUGGUGAGCUUUGGUAAUAUUUUCUCUAUUUCUUAAUCUUGUGUGGUUUGAUUAGUUAAUGAUGUAGAAUGCAAGUUCAGUUAAAAAAUGGCUUAAAUAUAUGGAGUGGGAAAAUAUUACUUUUCAGGAUUGAUUUCUAGUUUUUUAUUCUAUUUUUGCUAUUGACAUCUAUGUAAAGCUUAUAUUACACACU